GCCUAACACAUGCAAGUCGAGCGGGAUUAUUCGGAAGCUUGCUUCUAGAUAUGAGAGCGGCGAACGGGUGAGGAACACGUUGGAAUCUGCCCCCAAGUCAGGGAUAGCGAGAAGAAAUUCUCAUUAAUACCGGAUAGUCUCUUUGGAGUAAAAAUUUAUUGCUUGGGGAAGAGCCCGCGUUCUAUCAGCUAGUUGGUGAGAUAAAAGCUCACCGAGGCGACGAUCUAUAGCUGGUCUGAGAGGAUGACCAGCCACACUGGGACUGAGACACGGCCCAGACUCCUACAGGAGGCAGCAGUGAGGAAUAUUGGACAAUGGAGGAAACUCUGAUCCAGCCAUGCCGCGUGAGUGAAGAAGGCCUUAGGGUUGUAAAGCUCUUUUGGCAGGGACGAUAAUGACGGUACCUGCAGAAUAAGCCCCGGCAAACUUCGUGCCAGCCGCCGCCGUAA
This 449-nucleotide ribosomal RNA is filed under the name uncultured bacterium. RNAcentral's name for it is "partial 16S ribosomal RNA". It matches the Rfam family "Bacterial small subunit ribosomal RNA", at positions 46 to 523 of the family's 1533-position model. The record is from RNAcentral.